UGCAGUCGAACGGUAACAGAACUAGCUUGCUAGUUGCUGACGAGUGGCGGACGGGUGAGUAAUACUUAGGGAUCUGCCUCUGUGUGGGGGAUAACUAUUGGAAACGAUAGCUAAUACCGCAUAACGUCUACGGACCAAAGAGGGCUUCGGCUCUCGCGCAGAGAGGAACCUAAGCGAGAUUAGCUUGUUGGUGAGGUAAAGGCUCACCAAGGCGACGAUCUCUAGCUGUUCUGAGAGGAAGAUCAGCCACACUGGAACUGAGACACGGUCCAGACUCCUACGGGAGGCAGCAGUGGGGAAUAUUGCACAAUGGGGGCAACCCUGAUGCAGCCAUGCCGCGUGUGUGAAGAAGGCCUUCGGGUUGUAAAGCACUUUCAGUUGUGAGGAAAGGUUAGUAGUUAAUACCUGCUAGCUGUGACGUUAACAACAGAAGAAGCACCGGCUAACUCCGUGCCAGCAGCCGCGGUAAUACGGAGGGUGCGAGCGUUAAUCGGAAUUACUGGGCGUAAAGCGCACGCAGGCGGUCUGUUAAGCUAGAUGUGAAAGCCCCGCGCUCAACGUGGG
Molecule: ribosomal RNA, 564 nt
Filed under: uncultured bacterium
Lineage: Bacteria
Description: bacterial SSU rRNA
Rfam family: Bacterial small subunit ribosomal RNA
Source: RNAcentral